AACGCGAAGAACCUUACCUGGUCUUGACAUCCACGGAAGUUUUCAGAGAUGAGAAUGUGCCUUCGGGAACCGUGAGACAGGUGCUGCAUGGCUGUCGUCAGCUCGUGUUGUGAAAUGUUGGGUUAAGUCCCGCACGAGCGCAACCCUUAUCCUUUGUUGCCAGCGGUCCGGCCGGGAACGCAAAGGAGACUGCCGGUGAUAAACCGGAGGAAGGUGGGGAUGACGUCAAGUCAUCAUGGCCCUUACGAGUAGGGCUACACACGUGCUACAAUGGCGUAUACAGAGGGAAGCGAGAGUGCGAGCUGGAGCGAAUCUCACAAAGUACGUCUAAGUCCGGAUUGGAGUCUGCAACUCGACUACAUGAAGCUGGAAUCGCUAGUAAUCGUAGAUCAGC
RNAcentral lists this ribosomal RNA (394 nucleotides) under uncultured Haemophilus sp. RNAcentral's name for it is "bacterial SSU rRNA". It matches the Rfam family "Bacterial small subunit ribosomal RNA", at positions 958 to 1353 of the family's 1533-position model. Lineage: Bacteria; Pseudomonadati; Pseudomonadota; Gammaproteobacteria; Pasteurellales; Pasteurellaceae. The record is from RNAcentral.